RNAcentral lists this ribosomal RNA (301 nucleotides) under uncultured bacterium. RNAcentral describes it as "partial 16S ribosomal RNA". It matches the Rfam family "Bacterial small subunit ribosomal RNA", at positions 509 to 807 of the family's 1533-position model. The record is from RNAcentral.
CAGCCGCCGCGGUAAUACAGAGGGUGCGAGCGUUAAUCGGAUUUACUGGGCGUAAAGCGUGCGUAGGCGGCUUCUUAAGUCGGAUGUGAAAUCCCUGAGCUUAACUUAGGAAUUGCAUUCGAUACUGGGAAGCUAGAGUAUGGGAGAUGAUGGUAGAAUUCCAGGUGUAGCGGUGAAAUGCGUAGAGAUCUGGAGGAAUACCGAUGGCGAAGGCAGCCAUCUGGCCUAAUACUGACGCUGAGGUACGAAAGCAUGGGGAGCAAACAGGAUUAGAUACCCCAGUAGUCCCUGUCUCUUAUAC